UGGGGAAUAUUGGACAAUGGGCGCAAGCCUGAUCCAGCCAUGCCGCGUGAGUGAUGAAGGCCCUAGGGUUGUAAAGCUCUUUCACCGGUGAAGAUAAUGACGGUAACCGGAGAAGAAGCCCCGGCUAACUUCGUGCCAGCAGCCGCGGUAAUACGAAGGGGGCUAGCGUUGUUCGGAUUUACUGGGCGUAAAGCGCACGUAGGCGGACUUUUAAGUCAGGGGUGAAAUCCCGGGGCUCAACCCCGGAACUGCCUUUGAUACUGGAAGUCUUGAGUAUGGUAGAGGUGAGUGGAAUUCCGAGUGUAGAGGUGAAAUUCGUAGAUAUUCGGAGGAACACAAGUGGCGAAGGCGGCUCACUGGACCAUUACUGACGCUGAGGUGCGAAAGCGUGGGGAGCAAACAGG
This 404-nucleotide ribosomal RNA is filed under the name Actinomycetes bacterium. RNAcentral describes it as "Actinobacteria bacterium partial 16S ribosomal RNA". It matches the Rfam family "Bacterial small subunit ribosomal RNA", at positions 355 to 776 of the family's 1533-position model. The record is from RNAcentral. Lineage: Bacteria; Bacillati; Actinomycetota; Actinomycetes.